CAGAUUAUAACAAAUGACAUUGUAAUGUUUUAUGGUCAAUUUCAAUGGUGAUCGAACUCAGCAGUGAAUAUUGGGCCGGUAGAACAAGCGAAACCUCAAUGCCAAAUAUAUAACACAAACUCGGUCAGGUUUCUUCACCAGCAUCACUCCCCAUUCUUUUCUCCCUUCUCGUUCGCAUGCAUUGCACAGACUCUGUAUACAAAGCCCUUUACAGCACAAUAUCUAUCAAUAAGAUUGACCCAACAAAACAUCAUUCCUACCGCUAGUUUUCUGUCAGUUUGUGCCAUGAAUAUCACUGGUGACUCUGAUUUCAGUCUUUAAAUGAUC
RNAcentral lists this long non-coding RNA (327 nucleotides) under Phoenix dactylifera (date palm). RNAcentral's name for it is "long non-coding RNA (PDAC_LNC017257)". The record is from RNAcentral. Lineage: Eukaryota; Viridiplantae; Streptophyta; Magnoliopsida; Arecales; Arecaceae.